Molecule: long non-coding RNA, 1138 nt
Filed under: Olea europaea subsp. europaea
Lineage: Eukaryota; Viridiplantae; Streptophyta; Magnoliopsida; Lamiales; Oleaceae
Source: RNAcentral
AGAUUGUAAUUUAUCAAUUAAUUAAUUUAACAAGCGUUGGAUAAAUUAAUUAAUUGGCUUGCAUAUUUAUAGGCCCAAAUUAAUUAAUUGGAUUAAUUAGUUCACGGAUCGGAUUUAAUUAAAUGAGUUAAUUAAAUGUUGAACCGGGUCAGACCAAGCCCGUUUGGGCUUAUAUAAAUAUGAUUAGGAUUUUCAAAAUUGUGGUGAUUUUCAUAAUUCUUGCUAGCACAAAAAAAACCCUAAUGCUGCAAUCUUGUUCUCUAUGUGGAUUAUCGUUGGAGAUUGGACAAUUGGACAGCUGUGAGAGACAGAUCCAAGUUGCUAGAACAAAGAUAUGGCAAAGAAGUUUGCAGAUCCUGUAAAGGUACAUCUUUAUCAUAAUUUCUAUCUAAAUACAAAGGUGAUUCUUGGUAGGAAUCGAAAUCUAUUUUAAUUUUUCGUUGCGCAUGUUAAGUACAUUCCCAACAAGGAGCAUGUCGAAGAAGGUGAUGAAGAAGAUUCAUCUCAAGGUGAAGAUGGGACAAUUUUUGACAUCUCAAAUGAGCCUUAAGGAAUCCUAUCUGGUGUUCUUGAAAGGAAUAGCAUCCAAAAGUGGGUUGAAUGGGCUUCCUCGAUACUAAUAUCAAGUAACCUCUAAUAUCAUUCGAGUGGAUUACUAGAUCCUAUUACGAAUUGUGUGCAGGCAAAUGUGUUUGGUAGUUUCUAAAACUUGACGUUUUGUCGACGCUGAUCGGGUAAAGUUUUUACUUGCCAUUAACAUACUUGCAGUUUGCGAUUCUAUUGGCUUCUCUUUGGCUCUCCCCAAAUUCUAUCAAGGCCUUUUGGUUUAAAAAUUAACUUUUUGGCAUAAGAAUCGAAGUUUUAUUUAUGAAUUGUGGUUGGUGGAUGGUUUAGCUAACAAUUAGUAAGGUUGUUGUUGUUGUUGUUGUUGUUAUUAUUAUUAUCAAUACAAUAUUUCAUACAAUGAUGGCACGGUUAGGAUCCCAAGCAAUGCAAACAUUUCGUGUCCUCAUGAUUUGUUCACGAUUUCUCUUGCAAGUGUGCAUCAACUUGAACGUUGAAGAUAACUGGAGAAGAUUAGAUAUGUUCAUGAAUCAUACAGGAGAUGGAAGUCUACCUUCUAAAUGUAAAACGGUAA